CUGCCAUCUUCUGGUAGAGAAAUCCCUGGUAACCUGCUGUGUCUGGUUAUGCUUUAGUGAGAAAAUUUGGCUUUUUAAGCUUCCUAAUUUCCUACGGUACCACGUCGUAAUUCACAAGAGUAAAAGGGCCGUGCUCCAUCCUGGCUGCCCUGUGGAAGCCCUGUGGAAGCCCUGUGGAAAUGGGAGGUGGCCCUGUGGAAGCCGGGUGACUUGAAGAGCUGCUGUCACUGAAGCCUGUCCUGGAGAGUCUGAUUCAACCUGUCUGAGGCAGGGCAUGCUGCUGCUCUGAACAAAAUAGUGGCUCUGCUGGGAAGGAAGAAAGGGAAAGAGGACAUUGGGCAGAAACCCUCAGCCUUCGAGCUGGGUACUCUUGAUUGCCAGCAUCUGAUUGAGCCUGUACAAACCUCCGGGGAGCUGCACCAGGAGGGUCGGAUGGACAUGCUGCCCCAGAAACACUGGCGAGAGAGGGAGGAAGCUGGCAAAGGGACUGGCACUGGUCUCCUAGGAAGAAUGACUGUGAAAAGGUGAGACGUGGUCUGGAAGAAGACUUGGGGGCAGCAUGCAUGUGCGUGUGAGAGACAUUUGAAGAGUGGGCAUUCCGAGGCCGGGUGUUUCAGUGGUUAAGCAUGUGGAUGGUAUUGCCAGGAAGACUGGGGACUGGGGUGACCAACCUGUCCCAGUAUGCUGGUGGCUUUCCUGGCUUUAGCACCGAAGUCAGUGUCUUGAGCAGACAUACCAGUCUGGAUGCUUGCCCUACCUGGGACUUGCUAGCUUUACCUAAACUUCUGUGCUGCAGAUUCCUCCCCUGUCGACUGGAUCUAAUGGAUAUCUAUUUUGGCUGGGGGUGGUGGCUCAUGCCUAUAAUUCCAGCACUUUUUGGAGGUCGAUGUGAGCAGAUUGCUUGAGCCCCAGGAGUUCAAGACUAGCCCGGGAAACAUGGCAAAAUCUCAUCUCUACGAAAAAAUACAAGAAUCAGCCAGGCAUGGUGGCACACUCCUGUAGUUCCAGCUUCUCAGGAAGCUGAGGUAGGAGAAUCACCUGAGCGUGGGGAGGUCAAGGCUGCAAUGAGCCAUGAUCAUGCUGCUGCACUGCAGCCUGGGCAGCACAGUGAGACUGUCUCACUAAUUAAUACUAAUAAUACUAAUAGCUACUUCAUUGAACUAUUGUGGACGUUAAACAAGAGAGUUCGUAUAAAGGACCUAACCCAGUGCUUGGCACAAAGACAUACUCAACACAUAGCAUCUAUUUAUAAUAAAUUAUAUUAGAUAUGUAGGCUUUUUCUGGGCAGUCCAAAGCUGGGAAACUGGACCAAUCUGUUUAGUGUAAGGAAAAAUUUCCUCACAGAUCAUAGGAAUUGCCAUGGUGUUCAAAUAUAGGCUGAUGUAGGGCCUGGUUGUGGGCUGGAAUGUAGAAGUAGCUUCUUCCUGAUCCAGAAAUUUCUUUUUUCGUUUGUUUGUUUUUUUGAGACAUGGUCCUGCUCUGUCACCGCAGCUGGAGAAGUUGCCCCAGCUGGCAGAAGUUUCAUAGGUCUCUGAUACAUUCAGUGUCAUGGUCUCUCUCUCUGUCUCUCUCUGUCUCUCUGUCUCUCUCUGU
Callithrix jacchus (white-tufted-ear marmoset) is the source of this 1593-nucleotide long non-coding RNA. RefSeq lists it as uncharacterized. The record is from RefSeq and is a predicted model, not a curated record. Lineage: Eukaryota; Metazoa; Chordata; Mammalia; Primates; Cebidae.